GUCAGGAUGGCCAAGUUGUCUAAGGCACCAGACUCAAGCUUUCACUUCCCUCCACUGGGGCUUCUGGUCUCUGGAUUGAGGCAUGCGUUUGAAUCCCACUCCUGACA
RNAcentral lists this transfer RNA (107 nucleotides) under Loxodonta africana (African savanna elephant). It matches the Rfam family "tRNA". Rfam says of the family: Transfer RNA (tRNA) molecules are approximately 80 nucleotides in length. Their secondary structure includes four short double-helical elements and three loops (D, anti-codon, and T loops). Lineage: Eukaryota; Metazoa; Chordata; Mammalia; Proboscidea; Elephantidae. The record is from Rfam by way of RNAcentral.